This 321-nucleotide ribosomal RNA is filed under the name uncultured bacterium. RNAcentral describes it as "bacterial SSU rRNA". It matches the Rfam family "Bacterial small subunit ribosomal RNA", at positions 28 to 334 of the family's 1533-position model. The record is from RNAcentral.
GAUGAACGCUAGCGACAGGCUUAACACAUGCAAGUCGAGGGGCAGCGGGGAGGAAAGCUUGCUUUUCUCUGCCGGCGACCGGCGCACGGGUGAGUAACACGUAUGCAACCUGCCCGGCACAGGGGGAUAAUCGGAAGAAAUUCCGUCUAAUACCGCGUAACACCUUCGGGAGACAUCUUUCGGGGGUCAAAGGAAGCAACUCCGGUGUCGGAUGGGCAUGCGCCGCAUUAGCUAGUCGGCGGGGUAACGGCCCACCGAGGCGACGAUGCGUAGGGGUUCUGAGAGGAAGGUCCCCCACACUGGUACUGAGACACGGACCAG